This is a non-coding RNA of Salmo salar (Atlantic salmon), 54 nucleotides long. NCBI's taxonomy places the organism in Eukaryota, Metazoa, Chordata, Actinopteri, Salmoniformes, Salmonidae. The record is from Rfam.
UGCACUCACUACUGUAAGUCGCUCUGGAUAAGAGCAUCUGCUAAAUGACAAAUG